Molecule: ribosomal RNA, 467 nt
Filed under: uncultured bacterium
Lineage: Bacteria
Description: partial 16S ribosomal RNA
Rfam family: Bacterial small subunit ribosomal RNA
Source: RNAcentral
GACGAACGCUGGCGGCGUGCUUAACACAUGCAAGUCGAACGGAAAGGCCCUGCUUUUGUGGGGUGCUCGAGUGGCGAACGGGUGAGUAACACGUGAGUAACCUGCCCUUGACUUUGGGAUAACUUCAGGAAACUGGGGCUAAUACCGGAUAGGAGCUCCUGCUGCAUGGUGGGGGUUGGAAAGUUUCGGCGGUUGGGGAUGGACUCGCGGCUUAUCAGCUUGUUGGUGGGGUAGUGGCUUACCAAGGCUUUGACGGGUAGCCGGCCUGAGAGGGUGACCGGCCACAUUGGGACUGAGAUACGGCCCAGACGCCUACGGGAGGCAGCAGUGGGGAAUAUUGCACAAUGGGCGGAAGCCUGAGGCAGCAACGCCGCGUGCGGGAUGACGGCCUCGGGUUGUAAACCGCUUUCGCCUGUGACGAAGCGUGAGUGACGGUAAUGGGUAAAGAAGCACCGGCUAACUACGUG